UGGGGAAUAUUGCACAAUGGGCGCAAGCCUGAUGCAGCGACGCCGCGUGAGGGAUGACGGCCUUCGGGUUGUAAACCUCUUUCAAUAGGGACGAAGCGCAAGUGACGGUACCUAUAGAAGAAGCACCGGCCAACUACGUGCCAGCAGCCGCGGUAAUACGUAGGGUGCGAGCGUUGUCCGGAAUUACUGGGCGUAAAGAGCUCGUAGGUGGUUUGUCGCGUUGUUCGUGAAAACUCACAGCUUAACUGUGGGCGUGCGGGCGAUACGGGCAGACUGGAGUACUGCAGGGGAGACUGGAAUUCCUGGUGUAGCGGUGGAAUGCGCAGAUAUCAGGAGGAACACCGGUGGCGAAGGCGGGUCUCUGGGCAGUAACUGACGCUGAGGAGCGAAAGCGUGGGGAGCGAACAGG
This 409-nucleotide ribosomal RNA is filed under the name uncultured Mycobacteriaceae bacterium. Its description in RNAcentral is "bacterial SSU rRNA". It matches the Rfam family "Bacterial small subunit ribosomal RNA", at positions 355 to 776 of the family's 1533-position model. The record is from RNAcentral. Lineage: Bacteria; Bacillati; Actinomycetota; Actinomycetes; Mycobacteriales; Mycobacteriaceae.